AACGUACGCUGGCGGCACGCCUAACACAUGCAAGUCGAACGAAGUAGCAAUACUUAGUGGCAGACGGGUGAGUAACAUGUAGGUAUCUGCCCUUUGGCCUGGAAUAACACGAGGAAACUUGUGCUAAUACCGGAUAAGUCUUUACGGAGAAAGCUUUAUGCACCAUUGGAUGAGCCUGCACUUGAUUAGUUUGUUGGUGGGGUAAUGGCCUACCAAGACUGUGAUCAAUAGCUGAUUUGAGAGGAUGAUCAGCCACAUUGGGACUGAGACACGGCCCAAACUCCUACGGGAGGCAGCAGUGGGGAAUCUUGCACAAUGGAGGAAACUCUGAUGCAGCGAUGCCGCGUGAGUGAAGAAGGCCCUUGGGUUGUAAAGCUCUUUCGUCGGGGAAGAAAAUGACUGUACCCGAAUAAGAAGGUCCGGCUAACUUCGUGCCAGCAGCCGCGGUAAUACGAAGGGACCUAGCGUAGUUCGGAAUUACUGGGCUUAAAGAGUUCGUAGGUGGUUGAAAAAGUUAGUGGUGAAAUCCCAGAGCUUAACUCUGGAACUGCCAUUAAAACUUUUCAGCUAGAGUAUGAUAGAGGAAAGCAGAAUUUCUAGUGUAGAGGUGAAAUUCGUAGAUAUUAGAAAGAAUACCAAUUGCGAAGGCAGCUUUCUGGAUCAUUACUGACACUGAGGAACGAAAGCAUGGGUAGCGAAGAGGAUUAGAUACCCUCGUAGUCCAUGCCGUAAACGAUGUGUGUUAGACGUUGGAAAUUUAUUUUCAGUGUCGCAGGGAAACCGAUAAACACACCGCCUGGGGAGUACGACCGCAAGGUUAAAACUCAAAUGAAUUGACGGGGACCCGCACAAGUAGUGGAGCAUGUGGUUUAAUUCGAAGAUACGCGCAGAACCUUACCAACACUUGACAUGUUCGUCGCGACUCUAAGAGAUUAGAGUUUUCGGUUCGGCCGGACGAAACACAGGUGCUGCAUGGCUGUCGUCAGCUCGUGUUGUGAGAUGUUGGGUUAAGUCCCGCAACGAGCGCAACCCUCACUUUUAGUUGCCAUCAUUAAGUUGGGCACUCUGAAAGAACUGCCAGUGAUAAGCUGGAGGAAGGUGGGGAUGACGUCAAGUCCUCAUGGCCCUUACGUGUUGGGCUACACACGUGCUACAAUGGUAUCUACAACAGGAAGCAAGACUGCGAAGUUAAGCAAAUCCCUAAAAGAUACCUCAGUUCGGAUUGCACUCUGCAACUCGAGUGCAUGAAGCUGGAAUUACUAGUAAUCGUGGAUCAGCGUGCCACGGUGAAUGCGUUCCCGGGUCU
This 1306-nucleotide ribosomal RNA is filed under the name uncultured bacterium. RNAcentral's name for it is "bacterial SSU rRNA". It matches the Rfam family "Bacterial small subunit ribosomal RNA", at positions 28 to 1381 of the family's 1533-position model. The record is from RNAcentral.